GAAGUACGAUCGUAGCUAUAGUUAACAUGUAUGACAACUGUUGUUGGCACCACCGUGAUCAUAGAUCGUGUCAUGGUUUGGUAAGCUGCAAAUUGCUGUUAUAAAUGAAAUGAAUUGAUCAUUCCACAUGGGUAGUCAGAAAUCCGUAUUUCUCUCAGUAGAUUGAAGUCGGAACGACUUCACGAAGCAUGACAUGAAAAACAGUGCAUAUCAUGAUUUAUUUGAUUUUUUCUAUUUUCAGCAUGAUAUAUUU
Molecule: long non-coding RNA, 253 nt
Filed under: Carica papaya (papaya)
Lineage: Eukaryota; Viridiplantae; Streptophyta; Magnoliopsida; Brassicales; Caricaceae
Description: long non-coding RNA (CPAP_LNC009031)
Source: RNAcentral